UCCAAACUCCUAUCAUCGGCAACGUAUCAAGAACAUCCAUCGCCUCACGCGUCCUUCUCCAAGAAACAGCUUCAAGAUCUCGCGCAAUCAUCAACGAAAAUCAGCAAGAACGAUUUAUCUCACCGUGGAAAAACCAAGAACGACGACAAAUUCGCAAGAUAUCUCGACGCUUAAAUGAAAUGGGAUCGAAAUCGAGCGUGCAAUGGAGAAAGAAGAAGGAAGCAACACCUAUCGGCUUCAAUCCUCUUCUUCGAUUAUGCGUUCGUUGCUUCCGUUGGGUUUCCGAAUCGUGUAUGUUGCGAAUCAUGAUGAAGAUUAUUGAAUGUCGUUCUUCUAUUUUGUUUCUCAACUCCCAAUUUUAUCUCAUGAGCUUCUCUUGACAAAUUCGUCUUCCCCUAAUUCAUUUUGUUUCUGCUUUGUUAGAAUCAUCUUUUGUUGAGAUCUUUUUAGAAAUCGAUUUGCAGGUGAUUCGCUUCUUGGUUGUGAACUGUGGUUGAGAACGAGGAGGAGAAUUUUUGUGUAAGAUGGUUAGCAGGGUUCGAACAAGGUUGCACGUUCUGUUUUUGCUAUGUAGUUAGAGGAUUGUUGAAGAUUCUACGAGGGAGUUUGAAGGGUGAUUACAGGUUUCAGGAUUUUGGUUAUGUGUGGUUAAGUGAAGGGUGAGGCGAAUGGUUGGAGGAGGGAGAUUUCCUUGAAGGGUUGUGUAUUGAGUUCUGUUGAAGGGUUGUUCAAUGGGUUUUCGUUGAGAGAAUUGGAAGAAUGGAGGGUGAAGAAGAAGCCGUUAUGGAGGCUGAGGUUUUUUUUGUUAAAAAAAAAGAUGAUGGAAGUUAUGGUUCCUAUUGUUAUAGUGAGGAAAAUUCAGUUAGGGGGUUUAAGAGGAUGAUUGAAGGAUGAAAUUUGGAUGGUGAAAACCUGUUAUGAGUUGUCGACAGUUGGAAUUUUCGGUUAAUCGGUUGAGGCAGUUAGCAGGGUAUUCAAGGAUUGGUUUUAUUAUGUGGAAAGCGAUUGGAGGCCCUUUUUCUUUCAAUGUCAGUUGGAAUUCCUGAGUUAGAGUGCGGAUUUUUUGUUAGAGUUAGUCGGAGUUGGAGGGCGUUUUUUUUGGGAAUUCUUACUCUUGGGUUGCAAGAAGAGUUUAUUACCGGUUCUGACGGUUGUUUUGGUGUAGGUUCAGGAAUUAUUAGCAGGUUCCCUUGAAGCGGUCGCAGGAUGGUUAGCCGGGAGAUCAGAGAUUGGAGCCGUUUUCUUCUGCGUGAGGGUUGUUCCGGGUUUAUUGUGAGAAUUCUUGAAUGGUUCUGUGAAUAAGCCUCAAUCCGGUUCCGGGUUGGUUUUUGGAAGGUGGUUCUGUGAAAAGGGAAGUGGAAGUUCUGUUGGAAUUCUUGGAGAGUUGUAAUUCUGCUAAAAAAAACGGUUGAAGGUUUUCGGGUGCCAGCCUUUUGUGGAGAGGUUUUAGAGAAUUUAAAAAUUAGUGAGGUUGCUGGCUUAGGAAGUGAGGUUACAGGGUUAGAAAACAGGUUUUAUCUCAGACCAAAUUGGUGGAUCUUGGGGGCAGGGUGAUCCAAAAUCCCUUCUGGUUCAGUUUCUAUAUCACCAUCUAGUGGAGCAAUAUGAUGGAACUCCAUACCCGGUGGAAUUACCGACAUGCGAGACAUGUAUCUACCAUAACAACUCACAUUACGCCUGAGCAAGCAUGCUCGUAUUUUACGUUCCAAUACUGGAUCUAAACCAUUAUAGAAGCGCCACUGUUCUUCAAUUUCCUUUUAAUUCCAACCAAUUGGAAUAUGUAUUAUUCAUUAGGAUGUAAUAAGUUGUAAUAGUAUUUAGCUUAUGUAAAGUGAUUCACACAAUGCCAAAUUUCAUGUAAUGCAGUGCAAUGCAUAUGGAAAGGUUUAUAUGAUCAUGAUUUAAUGCAAUAUCAAUUGUUAUGAA
Lathyrus oleraceus (garden pea) is the source of this 1926-nucleotide long non-coding RNA. RefSeq lists it as uncharacterized. The transcript is spliced from 4 exons. The record is from RefSeq and is a predicted model, not a curated record. NCBI's taxonomy places the organism in Eukaryota, Viridiplantae, Streptophyta, Magnoliopsida, Fabales, Fabaceae.